AGAAAUAUAGUUAAUUUAUAACAUUUAUUUUGCUAAUAAAAGUAUAUUAUUUUUA
Molecule: transfer RNA, 55 nt
Filed under: Belyta sp. ZJUH_2016005
Lineage: Eukaryota; Metazoa; Arthropoda; Insecta; Hymenoptera; Diapriidae
Description: tRNA-Ala
Source: RNAcentral